GCCGCUGUGGUGUAGUGGUUAGCAUACUGGACCGGCAAUCCAGAGACCCGUGGUUCGAGUCCCGGCUGCGAAGUGCC
This is a non-coding RNA of Ruditapes philippinarum (Manila clam), 77 nucleotides long. The record is from the annotation of a RefSeq genome assembly. Lineage: Eukaryota; Metazoa; Mollusca; Bivalvia; Venerida; Veneridae.